CUGUGUACCAGUUGAAGUUCUAAGCAUGUGAAUGCAAAACACUUGUUUUUUUUUUUGUUUUUUUUUAACAAUCUAUACAAAAUAUAAUGGAACUGUUCAUAAUUCCUUAUAACUUUUAGGUCUAGUUUCACAGACAGGGCUUGGAUUAAGCCAGGAUUAGGCCGUAGUUACUAGUUAAUUUAGAACAUUGAAGUAGCUUUUGUAAACGUGCUUUUAGAAAAAAAAAACAUUACUGAUGUGCAUCUUGAGACAAAACCAUGGCAAUGACACCUUUUUUUUUUUUGUAAUACCCAAUAGUUGCCAGAUGCUGCCCUGUUGGAAAUUCUUCUUUAUGUGAUCCUGGAGGAGGGUGAUGCUACAUUAUUAAGUCUGUCUUUGGUUUGUUCCAAAUUCAGAAGUCUGUUGAAUACAGACUCCUUUCGAAAGAGGGCACAAUUCAGCUGGCUUGACGGUGUAUUUUCUUUUACAUAUUUGAUUUAAAAUGGUGCCAUAACAUGAAAUUUCUCAGUUGCCAUGUCUGAAUGUUUAUCUUCGUAAUAAUGCUGUUUUUAUGCUCCUCAUCUCAAUAUACAGGUGUAACAAAAUGGAGAACAAGUCUAAGCCAUGCCAGGAAUUCUUCCAAAUGUACACCCUGCAGACACUGCGGGGUUUACAACAACUGCUUACCAGGUCACUACAGUCAUCCAGAUCCAGUACGUAUCCAGACUAGAUAGUGGAUCAGCACCUAGAGAGGACCUCUACAUUCCUGAAAGACAGCGAUGACCAGGACAACUAGAGCCCCAGAUACAGAUCCCCUGUAAAGACCUUGUUUUUUCUCAAUUCUGUCACCGAUGGAGUUUUGGUUCCUUGUUGCCUCUGGCUUGCUUCGUUGUGGUCACUUCAUUUACAGCGAUAUCAUUGACAUGAUUGCAAAUGAUUCCACAGAUACUAUUUAAACUGAACCGAGCUGAAGUAUGACAUCACUGAAUUCAAUGAUAAACUGCCUUUUGACUAAAACUGAGUGUUUACUAAUGCCCUUCUGCAUUAUUGACUGACACACUAUUUUCCUAUUUAAUACUGUAAAGUUGCUUUGCUUUGAUCUGUAUUAUUAAAAGCACUAUAUAAAUGAAGGAGGCUUGACUUGA
This is a long non-coding RNA of Carassius carassius (crucian carp), 1124 nucleotides long. RefSeq lists it as uncharacterized. The record is from RefSeq and is a predicted model, not a curated record. The transcript has 2 exons. NCBI's taxonomy places the organism in Eukaryota, Metazoa, Chordata, Actinopteri, Cypriniformes, Cyprinidae.